Molecule: non-coding RNA, 28 nt
Filed under: Cricetulus griseus (Chinese hamster)
Lineage: Eukaryota; Metazoa; Chordata; Mammalia; Rodentia; Cricetidae
Source: RNAcentral
AGAUGUCCAGUGUGGAACGAACUGUGUG